RNAcentral lists this transfer RNA (71 nucleotides) under bacterium. Its description in RNAcentral is "tRNA-Gly". It matches the Rfam family "tRNA". From Rfam's summary of the family: Transfer RNA (tRNA) molecules are approximately 80 nucleotides in length. Their secondary structure includes four short double-helical elements and three loops (D, anti-codon, and T loops). The record is from RNAcentral.
GCGGGAUUAGUUUAAUGGUAGAAUAUCAGUUUUCCAAACUGAGGGUACGAGUUCGAUUCUCGUAUCCCGCA